This is a long non-coding RNA of Myotis myotis, 1290 nucleotides long. RefSeq lists it as uncharacterized. The record is from RefSeq and is a predicted model, not a curated record. NCBI's taxonomy places the organism in Eukaryota, Metazoa, Chordata, Mammalia, Chiroptera, Vespertilionidae. The transcript is spliced from 3 exons.
GCUGGAAACUAACAGGUAUUUUAUAUGCAUUAUGAUGAUCACCCAAUGAGAUAGGCACUUGGUAUCCCCAUUUACAGAAUAGGAAAUGGACUUAGAAGGGUUAAGUAGCUGCCAAAGGGUUGGUAAGUUGGAGCUGCCCGCUGGAUACUGUCUUCAAAGCUCCCUGGACAACACCUGGAAGCUGGCAGCUGAAUCAAGUCUGGUAACAAGAGGCCAGACUUGCCACUGUCAUAAUACAUCCUCUUGAAAGGGGCGAAGGAACGUUAACCUGAGCUGCUGAGGGUGAAUGUUGCAGUACAGAUACAUCUUAGUUGGGAACAAUCACAUGAAAUGGUAAUACAAUGGUGGCAAAAAUGCAAACUGAAGAUCUUAAGUAGCUCAAGAAGCUGGCUAAGGUAAGAGGAGUUAGUCUCUUAGAAGGGUUUAACUUGGUCCUUGUAGGAAACGCUGUCAGUGCACGAGGAAUGAGAACAUUUCUCAAAGGUCUGGCAUUGGAGGAUGUCCCAGGUAUCAUCUCUUCACGUAAGGUUUAGUGGACACAACUUACUUCUGGGAAGGUUUUCGUGAGAACAAAAGUGUAAAAGGGCUUGUUACAUAGGGUUCAUUAGAUUCACUAGAAAGCUGUUAGUUCUGUUGGCCUUCCAGUUGGAUUUAAAGCAACUGACCAAUCGGGGACACCAUUUUUUCUGACAAUGUUCUCUCAAGACGGUCCUUAUUUCUCAUUAAUAGCAGUUUGUCCCCUGUACCUAGUCGUUCCUACUGCUCUUCUCUGAUGACACUUUCUUGAGAGUUCAUUUAGUUCCAUGGUUAUAACUAACACUUCUUACAACCCUAGGUAAUGCCAUUACCUUUGAUCGGGACCCAUCAUGGGAGAGUUGAGCAACCCGUUUUAAGGAAUACACUUCCAACUCUAGCCCUUCAGGCCAACAAGAGUUUGCUGCAUGGGAGGUUGGCUGUGCACACUGUCUGCCCGAGGCAAUCCUCUUGACUUGUGUGACACUCAGACACCCAGCCUCACCUGGAGCUCUGGUCCUGGUGAGAAAGGCACCUGGUGUCAACCCACAGGCAGAGUCCUCCCAGCGGCCUGCAUAGAGGAGAACCAAGAUUCGCACUGAUACUCUGGCCCUGGGGAUCCCAGUGCCGGCAGAACCUUUCACGGACUCGGACAACACUAAGUUCAAGGACACCAACAACCCUCGCCAAACAAAAACGUCAUGACAGAAACUGCAAUGAGUUCCUUGAAACAUAAUUCGCUUUUCCGUGAGCCAGAAGUGGGUUUGGGGCAGGUCA